This 253-nucleotide ribosomal RNA is filed under the name uncultured bacterium. Its description in RNAcentral is "partial 16S ribosomal RNA". It matches the Rfam family "Archaeal small subunit ribosomal RNA", at positions 474 to 727 of the family's 1478-position model. The record is from RNAcentral.
UACCAGCACCCCGAGUGGUCGGGACGAUUAUUGGGCCUACAGCAUCCGUAGCCGGUUCUACAAGUCUUCCGUUAAAUCCACCUGCUUAACAGAUGGGCUGCGGAGGAUACUAUAGAGCUAGGAGGCGGGAGAGGCAAGCGGUACUUAGUGGGUAGGGGUAAAAUCCGUUGAUCCAUUGAAGACCACCAGUGGCGAAGGCGGCUUGCCAGAACGCACUCGACGGUGAGGGAUGAAAGCUGGGGGAGCAAACCGG